AUAGCCUUUGUUUUGAGAGUUUGUCAUUUGGUUAUUCUUUUUUUUUUUACAGCAUGAGGUAACACAUGCCUCAUGACAGUUGUAGCUAGGCUUUGUGUAUAAACAAUUCUUUCACAUCUUUGUAACUAGAUUUUAGUGGAAUGGAAUAGAGGAUUUAUUCCUUCUCUCAAUAUUUCUUUCUCUACAUUAGUCGAACAUGGUAUCAGAGCUACAUUAGAUCCAAAUACUCGUUUUAUUCUGCA
RNAcentral lists this long non-coding RNA (242 nucleotides) under Carica papaya (papaya). RNAcentral's name for it is "long non-coding RNA (CPAP_LNC010459)". Lineage: Eukaryota; Viridiplantae; Streptophyta; Magnoliopsida; Brassicales; Caricaceae. The record is from RNAcentral.